RNAcentral lists this long non-coding RNA (863 nucleotides) under Macaca mulatta (Rhesus monkey). RNAcentral's name for it is "lncRNA (ENSMMUG00000062075.1)". Lineage: Eukaryota; Metazoa; Chordata; Mammalia; Primates; Cercopithecidae. The record is from RNAcentral.
AGGGGAAAUAUCUGCAUCCCUACAUCUUUUGAUUUCUAUUUUAUUGUGAUAAGAAUACUUAACAUGAGACCUACCCUCGUAACAGAUUUUUAAGUGUACAAUACCGUAUUUUUAACUAUAGACACAAUGUUGUACAGCAUAUCUCUGUUAAUUUAGCACUACUGAAACCUUAUACCUGUUAACUAGCACCUCCCCAUUUUACUAAUCUCUCUUUAUCUACUAGGCUGGAUAAGCACUAUGAAAACUUCUGAUUGAUGAUGGAAUUGUCUCUGCAAUAGUCAGAUAAUGACCUGAAUUUCUGAGAUUCCCAAAAGAUUUUUCUGGGAACAACAUCGCAGGAAUUAUUCUAGAAGAAAUUAAAGAGCCAUAGUAAUUCUAACUCAAUGGAUGAAAAAUCUAAGACAUUAGAAGCUGAAUGACUUGGAAGGUUAUGUCUACAAACACCUACUAUGCAUACACAUUGGAGGUCGUUUAAGAGUCAAGAAUAACACAAAUUGGCUGUAAAGUAGUACAGUCAGGAGAUCAAGACCAUCCUGGUUACCACAGUGAAACCCCGUCUCUACUGAAAAUACAAAAAAUUUACCGGGUGUGGUGGCAUGCGCCUGUAAUUCCAGUUGCUCAGGAGGCUGAGGCAGGAGAAUCACUUGAACCUGGGAGGCAGAAGUUGUAGUGAGCCAAGAUCACGCCAUUGCACUCCAGCCUGGGUGGCAGAGUGAGACAUCAUCUCAAAAACAAAAAACAAUAAAGUAGUACAGUCCAGAUGAGGAGUUGACAAACCAUACCUUGCAGGCCAAAUACUGCCCAUCACGUGUUUUGGGAUGGUCCAUGACUGUGAGGUAAGAACAGUUUUUACACUUUUUCUU